GGGUCAGUAGGUUGGUCGUGCCACCGGUACGUACUGGUCUCACUGAUUCCUCCUUCCUGAAGAACUGUAAUGCCAUUAAUUUGGUGUUGCGGGGAAACAGGACUGUUACUUCGAAAAAAUUAGAGUGUUUAAAGCAAGCUAACGCUUGAAUACAUUAGCAUGGAAUAAUGAAAUAGGACGAUCGAUCCUAUUUUGUUGGUUUCUAGGAUUGACGUA
This 216-nucleotide ribosomal RNA is filed under the name Glomeromycotina sp. Its description in RNAcentral is "partial small subunit ribosomal RNA". The stretch from base 40 to 216 matches the Rfam family "Eukaryotic small subunit ribosomal RNA", at positions 686 to 864 of the family's 1831-position model. The record is from RNAcentral. Lineage: Eukaryota; Fungi; Glomeromycota.